GGCUAUAAGGGCAAUCUGGUUAUGAUGCCUGUUGUCCAUUUAUUACCAGGGAAGAUUUGGUUAGUCUUGGCCAGUGUCCCCUUCCUUCCUCAUCACUCUAUGUAUAUCCCUCCCAAAGCUGUGUGCUUGGUGGUACAAGGUGACUACUCCUACGAGGAGGACCAUUCUUAGGUCCCAGGUACAAGAGUAGUUGCCCUCCCUUGCUGGAGCCUCCAAACAGGCUCUCAAAUCCUCAUUUUAUAUUUA
This 246-nucleotide small RNA is filed under the name Nannospalax galili (Upper Galilee mountains blind mole rat). RNAcentral describes it as "7SK RNA (ENSNGAG00000002597.1)". It matches the Rfam family "7SK RNA", at positions 1 to 258 of the family's 331-position model. From Rfam's summary of the family: 7SK was discovered as an abundant small nuclear RNA in the mid-70s but a possible function has only recently been suggested. Two independent studies have found that 7SK RNA binds the CDK9/cyclin T complex (known as elongation factor P-TEFb). Lineage: Eukaryota; Metazoa; Chordata; Mammalia; Rodentia; Spalacidae. The record is from RNAcentral.